RNAcentral lists this transfer RNA (73 nucleotides) under Paravannella minima. Its description in RNAcentral is "tRNA-Met". It matches the Rfam family "tRNA". Rfam says of the family: Transfer RNA (tRNA) molecules are approximately 80 nucleotides in length. Lineage: Eukaryota; Discosea; Flabellinia; Vannellidae. The record is from RNAcentral.
GAGCUUAUCGUCUAAGGGCAAAGAUAUAUCACUCAUAAUGAUAAAGAUGUAGGUUCGAAUCCUGCUAAGCUCA